GAUAUGCGAUAAGUAAUGUGAAUUGCAGAAUUCAGUGAAUCAUCGAAUCUUUGAACGCACAUUGCGCCCGCCAGUAUUCUGGCGGGCAUGCCUGUUCGAGCGUCAUUACAACCCUCAGGCCCCCGGGCCUGGCGUUGGGGAUCGGCGGAAGCCCCCUGCGGGCACAACGCCGUCCCCCAAAUACAGUGGCGGUCCCGCCGCAGCUUCCAUUGCGUAGUAGCUAACACCUCGCAACUGGAGAGCGGCGCGGCCACGCCGUAAAACACCCAACUUCUGAAUGUUGACCUCGAAUCAGGUAGGAAUACCCGCUGAACUUAAGC
Molecule: unclassified non-coding RNA, 320 nt
Filed under: plant metagenome
Description: partial contains 5.8S ribosomal RNA, internal transcribed spacer 2, and large subunit ribosomal RNA
Rfam family: 5.8S ribosomal RNA (bases 1-105)
Source: RNAcentral